Small nucleolar RNA from Loxodonta africana (African savanna elephant), 132 nucleotides. Its record names the gene SNORA72. It matches the Rfam family "Small nucleolar RNA SNORA72". From Rfam's summary of the family: U72 is a member of the H/ACA class of snoRNAs. The snoRNA gene is located in intron 4 of the ribosomal L30 protein gene in human, mouse and chicken. Lineage: Eukaryota; Metazoa; Chordata; Mammalia; Proboscidea; Elephantidae. The record is from Ensembl.
AACUAAAAAUUCUCCGUGUCUUGAUUUCGUGAUAACCAGGGCAGGAGAGACAUUCACUUUAUGAAGAUAAUGAAUGUGUCCCCAGGUCUAGUGCCUUCCCUAAGUCUGGCUUUAAAAAUGCUGGUGAUACAC